GACGAACGCUGGCGGCGUGCCUAAUACAUGCAAGUAGAACGCUGAAGAGAGGAGCUUGCUCUUCUUGGAUGAGUUGCGAACGGGUGAGUAACGCGUAGGUAACCUGCCUUGUAGCGGGGGAUAACUAUUGGAAACGAUAGCUAAUACCGCAUAACAAUGGAUGACACAUGUCAUUUAUUUGAAAGGGGCAAUUGCUCCACUACAAGAUGGACCUGCGUUGUAUUAGCUAGUAGGUGAGGUAAUGGCUCACCUAGGCGACGAUACAUAGCCGACCUGAGAGGGUGGUCGGCCCCACUGGGACUGGGGCACGGCCCAGACUCCCUCGGGAGGCAGCAGGAGGGGAUCUUCGGCAAUAGGGGCAACCCUGACCGAGCAACGCCGCGUGAGUGAAGGAGGUUGUCGGAUCGUAAAGCUCUGUUGUAAGUCAAGAACGGGUGUGAGAGUGGAAAGUUCACACUGUGACGGUAGCUUACCAGAAAGGGACGGCUAACUACGUG
This 497-nucleotide ribosomal RNA is filed under the name uncultured bacterium. Its description in RNAcentral is "partial 16S ribosomal RNA". It matches the Rfam family "Bacterial small subunit ribosomal RNA", at positions 28 to 507 of the family's 1533-position model. The record is from RNAcentral.